UGACUUCAAGGCUCCCUGCAGCUCCUUCAUUGUCUGUAUCAGUUCAUCGUUCUUUUAAUUUAAAGCCACUUCUUUCCACUGAGCCCCCCCCCCCAAAGUCAUUCUCAUUAGUAAUCAGGAGCUUGUCUGUUUACAUUAAAAUCUGUUGUAAAAUAACAAGCAACAGUCAUUUGAAGAGAGCGACAGGGAGAAGAUCAAACAUCAUCGGUAUUCUUUAACCCUCCAUACUAGAGCUGGUGGCAGGUUCACAGGGUGUAAAUCAAUCACCAGUGGGAACGGGAUGCCCCAAGGCUUGGCAUAAGUGGGCAUCUCCAAGGGGGCCAGACCCCAGCAGGAGCUCCCCGUACAGUGAGGAGGAAUACACAGAGGGUGUAUUCUGAAAGGCCCAUCGAAAUCUAGAGCUGACAAUGUGGCAGAAUUUCAGAUACCCUUGCAAAAUAAACAAGUUCUAAGGCAAACAAGCUGUCUGGGAAGGUAGCCCUCUGGCCCCACUUCCUCCUCAUCCUUUCUGUGGUCUUAGAGCAGGUGGGCAGACAGGGUUCUCUAUCGGUGCAGCACCCACCAAGCCAAGCUGCCUGACCGCUCUUCCUUUUUUCUUUUUUGUAUAAUAAUUUUUAUUAGUUUUUCAUUAUUAACAAUCCAAUAUAGACCACAUUAAUACAAUACCAAAUCAUAAUUAAAUUAAAGAAGCCAAUUGUCAGAUUCCAAAUUAAACAUUUUGGUUGACUUCCCAUGUUCUGAUUUUAGUUUUUUAGGUCAUGUUGAUUCCUUGUUCCUGCUCCAAUCCACUUAUUUAAUCCAGAUAAUACAGUUCCGAUGUUGAUCCUUUAUUUUAACAGCCACUGAUGUGUUGACUUUCGUUCGUUUUAAAUUGUUCCAUAUCCUUUAAUUUGCAAGAGGAGUUUAUAUCUGGUAACUUUCUGUGUGGAAUGUUUUUUUUUAAUGUUUGACUUUCCUUUCUUGUUGCAAUCAAUCAUUUUCGGCAUUCCUCCCCGCCCCCCACUCCAAGGACUCAAUUUUACUGCGUAGUGACCUUUCGCCAUCUUGCUUUUCUCAAAACCGAAAGUGGUCUGAUGUCUGGCGAAUGGCCAUUACUCCGGGCAGACUUCCAGAGUUUUCUUUGAAUACUUUCCCAUCCGAUAACAAGCUGAUAUCUCGCCAACACCAUAAUAAAUCAAAGUUAGAGUUCUCCGUAAGAGGGUAUUGCCACAGAACAUCCCAAUAUUUUCCACACAAUUCCAUUCUUUCAGUUAAUCCAUAAGCAUUAUAAAGUUCUUGCUGAUUCCCUCUUGCAGUCCAUUAAUAAUUGCAAUCCAUUAAUAAUUACAAUCCAUUAGUAGCUAAUUUUUUCUUCGGUGAAGAGCUGCCAAAUCAUAGAACAGCAUAGUGAAUAUAUACAGAGAAAACAAAGGCAUCUCUCCACCACAUACCAAUCCAAUUACGACAAAAAUGUUCUCCAGACAGAGACCUUGGCACUCGGUGGCUGAUUCAUUUAGCAGGUUAACUUGUCUCCUUCUUCCAUAACAUGCCUGUUUCUUAAGUCCAAAUUCUGAUAUAUCUUAAAAAACAGAAGCAUCUCUGCUCAUGGUGACCUCGUUGGAGUUUCCGAUGUGUGCAGUGCUAUGCACUCAGUGUCCCCUCCCCCCUGCCUGCCUGCUCUUUCUGAGACACUCCAGCCUCAUAUGUGCGAGGGCUGUCCUCUGGGCCCACAUUAUAUUCAGCAGGUAGUUAACAAGACAUGGGCUGAAUAUGGGUGUUUCUGAGCACAAUGAGAGUUCCAUU
Molecule: non-coding RNA, 1782 nt
Organism: Podarcis lilfordi (Lilford's wall lizard)
Lineage: Eukaryota; Metazoa; Chordata; Lepidosauria; Squamata; Lacertidae
Source: the annotation of a GenBank genome assembly